GCAUAUCAAUAAGCGGAGGAAAAGAAACCAACAGGGAUUGCCUUAGUAACGGCGAGUGAAGCGGCAACAGCUCAAAUUUGAAAUCUGGCCCCAGGCCCGAGUUGUAAUUUGCAGAGGAUGCUUUUGGCGCGGUGCCUUCCGAGUUCCCUGGAACGGGACGCCAUAGAGGGUGAGAGCCCCGUCUGGUUGGAUACCAAGCCUUUGUAAAGCUCCUUCGACGAGUCGAGUAGUUUGGGAAUGCUGCUCUAAAUGGGAGGUAUAUGUCUUCUAAAGCUAAAUACCGGCCAGAGACCGAUAGCGCACAAGUAGAGUGAUCGAAAGAUGAAAAGCACUUUGGAAAGAGAGUUAAACAGCACGUGAAAUUGUUAAAAGGGAAGCGUUUAUGACCAGACUUGGGCCGGUUAAUCAUCCAGCGUUCUCGCUGGUGCACUUUGCCGGUCCAGGCCAGCAUCAGUUCGCUGCGGGGGAUAAAGGCGUCGGGAAUGUGGCUCCUCCGGAGUGUUAUAGCCCUUCGCGCAAUACCCUGCGGUGGACUGAGGUUCGCGCAUCUGCAAGGAUGCUGGCGUAAUGGUCAUCAACGACCCGUCUUGAAACACGGACCAAGGAGUCGUCUUCGUAUGCGAGUGUUCGGGUGUAAAACCCCUACGCGUAAUGAAAGUGAACGCAGGUGAGAGCUUCGGCGCAUCAUCGACCGAUCCUGAUGUUCUCGGAUGGAUUUGAGUAAGAGCAUACGGGGCCGGACCCGAAAGAAGGUGAACUAUGCCUGUAUAGGGUGAAGCCAGAGGAAACUCUGGUGGAGGCUCGCAGCGGUUCUGACGUGCAAAUCGAUCGUCAAAUAUGGGCAUGGGGGCGAAAGACUAAUCGAACCUUCUAGUAGCUGGUUUCCGCCGAA
This 892-nucleotide ribosomal RNA is filed under the name Stachybotrys chlorohalonatus. Its description in RNAcentral is "LSU rRNA". It matches the Rfam family "Eukaryotic large subunit ribosomal RNA", at positions 38 to 965 of the family's 3401-position model. The record is from RNAcentral. Lineage: Eukaryota; Fungi; Ascomycota; Sordariomycetes; Hypocreales; Stachybotryaceae.